Molecule: ribosomal RNA, 440 nt
Filed under: uncultured bacterium
Lineage: Bacteria
Description: partial 16S ribosomal RNA
Rfam family: Bacterial small subunit ribosomal RNA
Source: RNAcentral
CCUACGGGUGGCAGCAGUAGGGAAUAUUGCUCAAUGGGGGAAACCCUGAAGCAGCAACGCCGCGUGGAGGAUGAAGGUUUUCGGAUUGGAAACUCCUUUUGGUAGAGAAGAGAAUGACGGUACCUAACGAAUAAGCACCGGCUAACUCCGUGCCAGCAGCCGCGGUAAUACGGAGGGUGCAAGCGUUAUUCGGAAUCACGGGGCGUAAAGGGCGCGUAGGCGGGAUAGCAAGUCAGAUGGGAAAUCCUAUGGCUUAACCAUAGAACUGCAUGUGAAACUGUUAUUCUAGAGUAGGGGAGAGGUAGGUGGAAUUCUUGGUGUAGUGGUGAAAUCCGUAGAGAUCGAGAGGAAUACUCAUUGCGAAGGCGGCCUGCUAGAACAUAACUGACGCUGAUGCGCGAAAGCGUGGGGAGCAAACAGGAUUAGAUACCCCUGUAGUC